GGAAUGAUUGGGCUAUAUUUUGUAAGAAAAGUUGAUGAAUGUUGAAUUUUUAAUAAUCAAAGUGAAGGAAAAACUCAUCAAAUGAUUUCAUAUUAAUGAUAUUUCGAUAUGAAAACAAAAAUUGUGAAAGAAAUUGACCAUAAGACAAUCAUGGCCAAAUAUUUUAAUAUCCAUCCUAUAACUUUGGAUUAUAAAAUAGUAUGGAUUUACAAAGGGCAUUUAAAUAAAUAAUUGAUUAUAUUGAUUUUUGAGAUUAUUUGGCAAAGCAAUGAUAAAUCAAAUGUCCUCUAUAUUGUUAUAGCUAUGGCAGAAUGUUAUUUGUACUAUGAUUAUGCUACAUUUCCUGAUAUAAG
Long non-coding RNA from Selaginella moellendorffii, 353 nucleotides. RefSeq lists it as uncharacterized. The record is from RefSeq and is a predicted model, not a curated record. The transcript has 3 exons. NCBI's taxonomy places the organism in Eukaryota, Viridiplantae, Streptophyta, Lycopodiopsida, Selaginellales, Selaginellaceae.